GGCGAGAAAACUUUGCAAUGUGCGAAAGCACGACAAGGUUAAUCCGAGUGGUUUCUGCUAAAGGAACCUUUUGACAGUCCUAGAAACACUGUGAAUAAGGGGUGGCAAGUUCUGGUGUCAGCCGCCGCGGUAAAACCAGCACCUCAAGUGGUCAGGAUGAUUAUUGGGCCUAAAGCAUCCGUAGCCGGCUCUGUUAGUUUUCGGUAAAUCUGUACGCUCAACGUACAGGCUGCCGGGAAUCUGCAGGGCUAGGGAGUGGGAGAGGUAGACGGUA
Molecule: ribosomal RNA, 274 nt
Filed under: uncultured Nitrososphaerota archaeon
Lineage: Archaea; Thermoproteati; Nitrososphaerota
Description: uncultured thaumarchaeote partial 16S ribosomal RNA
Rfam family: Archaeal small subunit ribosomal RNA
Source: RNAcentral